Molecule: unclassified non-coding RNA, 367 nt
Filed under: uncultured bacterium
Lineage: Bacteria
Description: contains 16S-23S intergenic spacer region
Source: RNAcentral
UCCGGGUUGAUCCCGGCGGUCUCGCCAGACAGCUUAACUGGCGACGAGGGUUGCGCUCGUUGCGGGACUUAACCCAACACCUCACGACACGAGCUGACGACAGCCAUGCAGCACCUUGCACUCCGCCUGGUUUUACCCAGGAGGCCCCAUCUCUGGGGUUGUCGGAGGCAUUCUAGCCCAGGUAAGGUUCUUCGCGUUGCGUCGAAUUAAACCACAUGCUCCAUCGCUUGUGCGGGUCCCCGUCAAUUCCUUUGAGUUUUAGCCUUGCGGCCGUACUCCCCAGGCGGGGCACUUAAUGCGUUAGCUACGGCACGGGAGGAGUCGACACCUCCCACACCUAGUGCCCAUCGUUUACGGCGUGGACUAC